RNAcentral lists this ribosomal RNA (1067 nucleotides) under Alteromonas mediterranea. RNAcentral's name for it is "bacterial SSU rRNA". It matches the Rfam family "Bacterial small subunit ribosomal RNA", at positions 72 to 1141 of the family's 1533-position model. The record is from RNAcentral. Lineage: Bacteria; Pseudomonadati; Pseudomonadota; Gammaproteobacteria; Alteromonadales; Alteromonadaceae.
UUUCUAGCUUGCUAGAAGAUGACGAGUGGCGGACGGGUGAGUAAUGCUUGGGAACUUGCCUUUGCGAGGGGGAUAACAGUUGGAAACGACUGCUAAUACCGCAUAAUGUCUACGGACCAAACGGGGCUUAGGCUCCGGCGCAAAGAGAGGCCCAAGUGAGAUUAGCUAGUUGGUGGGGUAAAGGCUCACCAAGGCAACGAUCUCUAGCUGUUCUGAGAGGAAGAUCAGCCACACUGGAACUGAGACACGGUCCAGACUCCUACGGGAGGCAGCAGUGGGGAAUAUUGCACAAUGGGGGAAACCCUGAUGCAGCCAUGCCGCGUGUGUGAAGAAGGCCUUCGGGUUGUAAAGCACUUUCAGUUGUGAGGAAAAGUUAGUAGUUAAUACCUGCUAGCCCUGACGUUAGCAACAGAAGAAGCACCGGCUAACUCCGUGCCAGCAGCCGCGGUAAUACGGAGGGUGCGAGCGUUAAUCGGAAUUACUGGGCGUAAAGCGCACGCAGGCGGUUUGUUAAGCUAGAUGUGAAAGCCCCGGGCUCAACCUGGGACGGUCAUUUAGAACUGGCAGACUAGAGUCUUGGAGAGGGGAGUGGAAUUCCAGGUGUAGCGGUGAAAUGCGUAGAUAUCUGGAGGAACAUCAGUGGCGAAGGCGACUCCCUGGCCAAAGACUGACGCUCAUGUGCGAAAGUGUGGGUAGCGAACAGGAUUAGAUACCCUGGUAGUCCACACCGUAAACGCUGUCUACUAGCUGUUUGUGGCUUUAAGCCGUGAGUAGCGAAGCUAACGCGAUAAGUAGACCGCCUGGGGAGUACGGCCGCAAGGUUAAAACUCAAAUGAAUUGACGGGGGCCCGCACAAGCGGUGGAGCAUGUGGUUUAAUUCGAUGCAACGCGAAGAACCUUACCUACACUUGACAUGCAGAGAACUUUCUAGAGAUAGAUUGGUGCCUUCGGGAACUCUGACACAGGUGCUGCAUGGCUGUCGUCAGCUCGUGUCGUGAGAUGUUGGGUUAAGUCCCGCAACGAGCGCAACCCUUGUCCUUAGUUGCCAGCAUUCAGUUGGGCACUCU